Molecule: long non-coding RNA, 21987 nt
Filed under: Sorghum bicolor (sorghum)
Lineage: Eukaryota; Viridiplantae; Streptophyta; Magnoliopsida; Poales; Poaceae
Description: long non-coding RNA (SBIC_LNC007523)
Source: RNAcentral
CACGCGUCUGCCUGCUUUUACGUACAGUGACUGUAACUCAUGAUGUUAUAUUCAGGAAAAAGUAACAAAGGAUUCUGAUAUAUAUUGUUCGGCAAUGCUGUUCUGGUGAAGAAAAUGUAACAAUAAUUCUCAUGGGUCAUUCGUCGUCUCUUUGUUCUAAUCUAUAAAUAUUGAGCUGCUCUGGUCACUCUAUUUCACAAAUUAUAAGUAGUAUGUGUUCAUAUGUAGUAGAGUUCUUUUUUUAAAGAUUUGGUUGUCUGGCUUUAUAUUAUAUUGAUAAAAAGGAAGAGGUACAACGUAUAAGUGCGAGAAGCGCUGCCACUCGCACAGCAUACUAUUGUGGAGGGUUAGGGAUAGUUUGGUUAAUUACUCACUAAUGCUUGGUACAACAUAAUAAGGGGUUCUAAGACUACUCCCCCUGCUACCUUUCCACUCUAGUGUCCAACAAAAGGGUAGAAGGCAUCUUGUCAUUGUUAUUUUUUUAGACAAAAGGUAUUCCCUGCUUUAUUGCUAAUAAAGCAGGCGCACCUACCAACAAACAAAAAAAACACAGCUCAGAAACACGCGGUCUAAAGGCCUAAACCAGCUAAAUGUCUUCGAACUAGCAGAGCUAGCAGAAACAUCUCUCCCAACUUGAUCAUCAUGCAGAGUCACAAUACUGUAAAAACCUGUUCCAAAGGAUGAUAAAACCAUUAAGUGUGCAUGAGAUGUAGAGAGCGUAUGUCUUAGUUUUAACGAUUCAUCCUUUUUUUACUUUGCAUACUUCACAACAUUUAUUUCUCACGCAAAAGCAUAUAUAUGUAUAACAAUAAACUCAAGAAAAAGGUUGUCUAAAGAACAAAUGAUGGAUUACUUAUUAACAUAACAACAUCUCAAUCGACACCUUGGUACAACAUGAUGAUCUCACAAUUUUGUGAAAGUAGACACAUUACAAACUUAAAGACAUGACACUAAAACCCUUCUUAGAUAGUAUGCACCGCCUCUUAUUAGUUAAUCAUUCUGCAGUUCUUCCUGAUCUGUCCAUUGGAGCCGGUCAACGGUGUGAUGUCACCCAUCUUUAUCAUGCCUGUCACAAAAUCCGAGAAGAAUGUGCUCUGGCUACUAAUGUAUGAUUGAACUUGCGCAUCGGUGGCUCCGCCAUUGAAGAGCUCCUGGUCGGAGUGUAGAAGCCCCUUCUUGCAAACAAGGUUCUUGUAGUAGUUGUUCUCAAAGACGGUUGGGGUUUGAAGGUCCAGAGGCGCCAAAUUGUUGUCACCUGAACCUGAGGUUCUAGGGCAGCCUGAUUGCCUUGUUCUUGCGAAGGUGCCAUCGAUGUUAGUGUCAUUGUAUACGUGAGCUCUGAAGUUGGUGCAACGUGCUUGGCCAAUGGUGUGAGCUCCUAUCAAAAGAGGCAUUAUAUUACACAAACAAAAAUGCUUAAUAACUUAGAUUAUUACUAUAUAUAGCUGCAUGAUCGAAAGUUACAAAUGUGGUGAUGGAGAAAUUGAAUUAUGUACAGCUUAAAUUAGCACAUAACUUUUGGAAGCAUCUUCUUGUUUUUUUUUAAAAAAAAAGACAUACAUGCUGUUGUUCUUGAUUGUCUAAAUUUCUAAAAAAAAUUGAGAUAAAGGUAUCUGAUUAUAUAUAGGAAUGAAUGGAAUCGAAACAAAAGGAACCACAUGUACUGUUUGUACCUAACUUGAUCUUGGUAUGUGUAUAAUGUGCAAGUACUUUUAUGCAUGCAUGUUUUAUUAGUAUUUCGUCGAAUUAAGAUGUUAGGUGGAAGACUGAUCUUUCAACCAUCGAAAGUUCACUAAAUUUGCUAUCUAGUUAGAGGCAGGAUUAGAAAUAAAGUUAAAGCUUUGGGCAAAGAACUUUCUACAAGAAAACCCUGCCGACAAUAUGUGGUAAUGUCACCUCUUUUACCAUUUUGUAUAACUACGCAGAUACAACUGUUUCGGUCCAACUUUCAUAUGACAAAAUUUUAAUAAAACAUAUAUAUUUAGUAGUAUGAACACACAUGGGCCAACACUAAUUAUUUGUGUAGUCUUUCUAACUAUAACUGCCAAAAUUACGCUAUUCAUGCACAUGUCACAGCUUGAUAAUAUAUGUGACGACGAAGAGAGUGAAGCUUCCAAGUCAAAACGGAACUGUAUCAAAUUCCCAUAUAUCUACCAACUGCAUCUUCCACACCUAACAAAGCUACAUUGUUUAGUAGUAGAGUGUACGUGUAAAGGCUAGCUGUUGCAAUAUAUUCUUACAUAUAUAUAUAUGCCUCCUUGUAAUAUAAUUCCAAUCCGUAUAUAUUUGCGUUUGAGAAACAAUAUUUUUUAUGGAAAAAAAACAUGAGAAUAUUACACACGCACCAGAGAGCGCGACCAUGUCCUUUUGAGAGAGGCCCUGCGCGGCGAAGAGCGAGGUGAGGUUGGCGAGGCCCGACGUCGGCGGCGGGAUGUUGUUGUUGGCGCCGCUGAAGCUCGCCGUUGUUGGGAAAAUGCUCUUCGCACGCCCCAGCGAUACUGUGGAUCGAGAACCUUCUCACUCGGUGCCGUGAGAGGCUUGAGCAAUAGCGGACAGUGGACUCAACGGUAGGUGAAUACAGUGAAUGCUCUCUCUAUUAAUGGCGGCACCACGCCCCUUAUAUAGGGCCCGGAGACCGACUCAACGACAUUUACAUAAAUGCCCCGUGACGGUGGGGGAAUAUUCCAGCAUAUUCUUUCAUCGCAGUCUACUGACCCCAAUGUACUCGCGUAAUUUCACGUCGCAAACCCUUUGUUCAUCCUUCGACUGGGGCCUCAGCAGGUCGAAGGCUCGGAUCCUCCGCCCAGUUGUGGAUCCUCCGACGCUUCGGUGUCGGAGGUUCCGCAGCCCGGCUGGUCGGAGGUUGCUUGGCCUGGCUGCGUUCUCUUGCUAUCCUCGGACUCGGGAGGGUCGGAGGUUCCAACCUUUUCCUCAUUCGCGGACCUCCGCCGGUGCUUCAGUCCCUGCACACACUUUGCAUGACCAGACGAGUCGUCAACAUUAGCAUUCCCCGCCGAAGGUUAUCCUCCGACGUUCCAGACGUCGGAGGUUCCUCAGGUGAAGGAUAACCUCCGGCGCUACCAGGGGGAAGGAUGCAGCUUUUCCCCAACAGCCGUCGUGGAGUCGCGCCGCCCGACCUUGACGUCCCAGCUUGGACCACCCAGCUGCAUAUAUAUAUAUAUAUAUAUAUAUAUCGAUCAGCAUCAGCAUCCAUCAGACACUUGCUUCAUACAGUGUCGAUCACAGAGACUUUGAGAGGUGCGUGCAAGCACUACUACUCACUAUGACGACGCUGUCCCUAGCAGCGAUGGCGAGGAUGUCAGCACAGGAGACGACGCCGGGGCACACCUUCUCGACGGCGGACUUGACGGCAUCGAUGACCUCGAAGCCUCGCACGGAGCCGUUGUUGGGCGUCGCCAUCUUCUCGCCCUGAAAGCUGGCCGUGUCGUCCAACAGCAGCGACGCGUCGCAGCCCUAUACAUAUAUACAUGGAUGCAAAUUAUAAGAACAUUCAUUUGAGAGAUCGAUCGUCCAUGCAUCGAAUUCAUCUGCUAGCUAACUAACGUACUUGGACGAAGCAGUCGUGGAAGAAGAGGCGGACGAUGGAGGCGCCCAUGCGCUGCUCGGUGGCGAUGGCGGAUUGUAUCGCCGACUUGACGGAGUCGUACACGCCGGGGCACGAGGAGGAGUAGAAGCUGGUGGACAGCUGCGCCGACGAGGUGCCGGCCGCCAUUAGCACGAGGAGCAACAGCAGAGCGAGGCCGCUGGCGCUGCAGCUGCUGCUGCAUUUUGUUGCAGCUGAUGCUGGGGCCAUGAUCGAUCGACGAUCGAUGUCAAUCAAAGGGUGCUAUAUAUAUAUAUUCCUAUCCCAAGUGCUGCUGCUGCUGCUGCUGCUGUAGUGUGUGCUGCUGCUGCCUGUGGAAUGUGGAUAUGGCUAGCUAUGGAGAAUGCAUGGGUAUUUAUAGCCCAAGCAAGCGAGCCCUGGGCGGCUGGGGCUGGGUUUGCUGGUUUUGUAGUUAGCAUCACUGCAUCAGUAAUAACUUGUGUGUGUGUAUAAUAUUGAAGCUAGGAGUACUAGUCUAGAACAGGCAUAUGCAUAUGAUAAUAAGCAUCAGUAACAUGCAUGCGUCAAGAACUAACAUAUGAUUAGCUAUAGGUAGGUUACAUCAUGUAUGGAGCGUGGACUUAUGGUACGUACGACGACUUCACCUGCUUUGUUUGACUUUGAGUUGAAUAGCAACUGAUCAUCCUCCGCCAAUCAAGCUGGUUAAUUAAGCUGCGGGCCUGCCUGCCCAACAGGAAUUCAGGAACCAGAGCUAGUGUGUACGAGUACGUGUGUGUAUGUACCUUACCUAGGUGUAUCAGUGUAUGCAUUGUGUGUACCUGGGAGACUGGAGAGUUUGGUAGUACGUAGCAAGAACCGCCUCUAGCAUGACGACGACGCAUAUGCAGAGUUGUUGAAGCCUGCAUUGCCAAGCAUCUGCAGGCUGUAGUUUAGGACAGCAUGCAUAUACACGGAAUUCAUGGGAACUUUUUGGGCAUGUUGUAAUACUGUCGUGCUAUUGAAAGUGUCGUUUUUGACUUUUACAUUUCUUGUUGUGAAAUAUGCCUUAAAGGGCACAAGCAGUUUGCUUCAAGGUUUAGUUGUUGUGAACAGGAUAAGAAUAUACACCAUCGCAUACGCUCACGUUCACAUGAAGUGUGUUUAUUUAGCCCAGUCUCAAUGCAUAGUUUCAUGGCACGGUUACCAAGACUAUAAACUAGGUAACCGUGCCACAUGAGUUUCAUGGGGAUGAAACUUCUCUCUCAUAUGAUGAAACUCCUUCAUUUAAUGAUCCUACCAAGCCAGCAAUUUUUCUUAUAUGACAUUCUAUUUAAUGUGCAUGACACUUUUAUAAAACAUGCAUUGAGUCUGACCUUACUACUACUACUUGGCAUGCAUGCAAAAGUUGCCUGGGCGAGGAAUUUGUGUGCUUUUAGCAUGGUAAUUUCGUUAGAAUUAAUUCCGUAAAUUUUGCAUUAUAUAUAAUGUAUGAGGGGAGGCAUGCAGUUCACACAAACAAGAACCAACCACUUGCAACCCAAGUCGUACAAGUAGCAAUGUUUCAUUUCAUUUUGAGUUGCAUGUAGACAACUGUUAAAAAAUUACUAGUAUAUGCAAACUACUUGAUGCAUGUGUUCAGGUUGGGAUGUAAAACUAUAUGAUAGAAUAUUUUUAUGAUAUCGUGUAAUUGUUUAUGUACACUAUAAAUUUAUACACUACAACAAAAAUUAGUAGACAUUUCAGGGCCGUGACGGGAGGAAGUAUAUAUAAUUAUAUAUUUGUUGAUAUAGGUGGUAAAUAAAUUGUGUCUUAAAGGCAUUGACAAUUCCAAAGCUGUUACAUUUGUGCUGGAAGGAGGCAGAGUUUCACGCUAAGGGCAGGUACGUUACAAUCAAAAGGCAACUAUUUCACCAUUGUACUAUUUAAUGUUACCAUACAACUCAUAAACUUUAUUUUAUUUAUUGCACAAAUUAAGGAUAACUAAGUUACUACAAAUCAAGUUGAAAGAUAAAUAUAUAUUGUAUAAACUGGUUGUUCAAUCAUUCUAUGAUUAUGUACCACCACUAUCGGAUCUGCACUCUUUACCGAGUGCCUAGGGCACUCGGCAAAGAGCAUUUCCCUCUCGGUAAAUAAAGGCUUUGCCGAGUGCCUACUGACAUGGCACUCAGCAAAGCCGUGUCGGCAAAGAGGGCUUUGUCGAGUGCCACGUGGCCGGCACUCGGCAAAGGUGACAUCCGCCACCAACCUGACGGCACCCUUUGCCGAGUGCCACGAUACUUGGCAAAGAUUUUUUUUAUUUUUUUAAAAAAAUUCUUUGCCGAGUGUCUUGGCGCCAAACACUCAACAAAGAUUAUUUUUUUUAAAAAAAAAAUCUUUGUCGAGUGUCUUGGCGCCAGACACUCGAUAAAGAUUUGUUUUUUUUAAUUUCUUUGCCGAGUGCCGGCACUCGGCAAAGGAAUGGUCACUUUACCGAGUGCCAGCCCAACACUCGGCAAAGUUGGACUUUGCUGGGUAAAAUGCCCAGCUUUGCCUAGUGCUGGCACUCGGCAAAGCUGGGUUUUUUUUUUUUGCUUUUUUCCUGUUUUCUUGCAUUCCAGACAUUAUAUUUCACAUAUAUCAUCACGAUACAAUAUAUAGAAUAUCACAUAUAUAUAUACCAUAUCACAUAUAUAUACCGUUUCAUCCUCAGAACUUUUUUCAACACAAAUCCAAACAUAAUGAAACACAAAUCCAUACAUAUCCAAUCCAUACAAGUCCAACAUAACCAACACAUGUUCAAAAGCCAAACAAGUUCAUUUAUUCAAGUCCGAAAGCGACCCUAAAAGAACCUAGGUCGACCUGUCGUCCCCAGGAGCCCCAGAGCCCCCAACCUUGCUCCCAUGGAGACCAAUCUGUCUGCCGGUAGUUCGCCGGAGGGGUGCUUGCAGGCCCGAAGUGCCCCUACUGCGGUGGUGGAGGCGGGUACGAGUACCCUGCUGCGGUGGUGGAGGCGGGCACGAGUACCCCCGUUGCGAUUGGUAGGUUUGCGUCGACCAGGGGUAUGACCGUGUCGGGUGGGUGGGGUAAGUCGGUACCCGUGCGGUGGAGAAGAGCCUAGUGGAGGGCUGGCACGUGGAGUCGAGUUCAAACCCGCCAACUGUGCCUGCACAAAGGGCAAGUGAUCUCAUUAGUACAUGCAGGAUGGCCACAUAAGCUAAAGCAAUAGGCAAUAUACUCACCGGAAUCGAGAAAGGAGUUGGCACAAGAAUUGGUGGUGGAGCGAAGAGCAAGGGAGGGAGCUCAGCCUGAUGCGCUCUCGGGAUCUGGGCCCCCAAGUAGGUGGUCAAGUCUUGCAACGCACGCUGGUAGUGCUUCCCUAGUGCCGCCAUCUGUUGCUCAUGGGCCGGGUCGCCUGCAUGUUCUGCUGGUUGGUCUCCAGCUAGACGAUCCUUUCCUACAAUAUUAUAAGAGCCAGGUUGAUGGAAUAUUACAAGGUACGUGUGUGAAACGAGUGAACAGUGAAUGAAACUACACUUACCUGGAAUGUUGAUAGCAUCUGCGCGCUGGUCGUCUGCCGAGGCGCUAUGGGGAUGUUGCAUCCACUUCUCGCAUGUCCUCGUCAAAUCUGGCUUAGUGUCUGAACAGAGGAUGACUCUGGCACUGUUAGCCAUAUAGUACCGUCCGUGCUACUUCCCUCCUUCCAACCUCAUCAAGAGCUCUGUAUCCAGGGUGCACUGGCCGGGUCGAAAUCCUUCCCAUGGCGCUCGCGAGCCGCCACGGUGUGUACUUGGUGAGCUUGGCGUAGGCGUUCGCGUUGGUGUACGCCUCGGACCCAGCAGCAGGGUCAUAGACGUUGUUGGGUCAGUCGCUCUGCCCUGGUGAGAUAGGGCAAACCUCGUGAACUCGUUGCAUUUCUUCCCCUCAUGCGCCUGGCUCUGCGAGGAAAACACAAAUAGGGUUACAAGUAAUGACAAUUGAGCGUUAGAAUAAACAGAUCAAUAGAAACAUACCCAAUUGUCGAUGUAGGGAGGGACUGGUUCCCUUGGUGGUGUGGCACCCCUGGCAUCUGCAAGCGGCGCUCCCGACGUACUCUGUGUGCCUUGUACACUGCGUCCGUACGCCAGCCACGCACAAUGACACGCCAGCAGUCCGGGUACUUGUCGCACCAGUGUGGUACCUCCUGCAUGACAUUCAAGUAUUUGGUAUUCCAGAAGAUGAAUUGAAUGUUUCACGUAAGGAAUCGUAACGAAUGUUUUCUAUUUAAUUAUCUGCAUGUACUGCUCCUCAGUGAGGUCGAUCUCCCUCUCGAGUAUCAUCUCCCUCACUUGCGGCUUCUUCACCACCUGGCCAAGCACGUCGGCGUGGUAGCUGAUCAUGGCCUAGAGAUGCGCCUCAUGGUACUGGUCCUUGAGAUGAUCUUUGCAGACCGCCUCCAACACUCGCACCGCAUGGGCCUCGUGCCCCUCCUCCAACGUGUAGAAGUCUUGCACACACACACAUCAAACAUCAUUUCAUUGUUCUUGAUCUUAGCCGAGUGCCAGCCCAUCUGGCCCUCGGCAAAGGGGGUGCUGCUGACCAGCCCUGGGCCUACCACGUGGCAGCCUUUGCCGAGGGCCAUGGCACUCGGCAAAGGUACCUUUGCCGAGUGCCUGACGGCGUAGCACUCGGCAAAGGGGACGACGUCGGAUGCCGUUUCGCCCGGCCCCCCUUUGUCGAGUGCCUGCCUUUGCCGAAUGCCAUGCACUCGACAAAGAGGCCCUUUGCCUAGUACCUGCCUUUGCCGAGUGCCAGAUACCUAACACUAGCCCUUUGCCAAGUGCCAGGCACUUGGCAAAGGAUUUCGCCGUCGGCAAAGCCGCGGAUUCCGGUAGUGCACACUGAUUGAGGCCAUCUAUGAGACACUACUAAUAAGCUUGCCCUAAGAUGUUUUUGGGAAUUAAAUGGUAGUUGCAUGCUUUGCGUGCACAUGGUACUAGAAUUGUUUGAAACUUGAAAGGGAUGUGACAUUUUUUUCAAAGGUGUGUGUUGGAUGAUACCAACCUAGCUAGACCAAAAAAGCUGAAUGCACAUUCUCUCUUAUUUUAGCUGAAAGGCUUGGAGUGGACAUUGCUUUAAUUUCCAUUUUCUCAUCAGGGAAAAUUAUACUGUUAAACAGAUGGAAUGUCGCUGAGAUCUUCAGAGAUUUGGUUUUGAUCACUGUCAAUUAGUUCGUGGGUAGGCAUCAGGCCGCAACACACAUGUCGUCAUUGCAGCAGGUGACCAGCUUACUACCCUGCUUCUCCGAUCCUUCUCUAUUAUCGCAAUGCAUUAGAUGUGAAGGAAGAGUCUCCGCAAGCUAUAGCUUGCUGAUGAACAUACCACUGUCGGCUGCUGUCUGCGUCAAGAGAAAUUUUUAAGGAAAAAUGUGCAAGGAAAAGAACAUGGGAGGGAUGGAGCUGCUCGAUCCGUAGGCAGAUAUUAAUCUAAUUAAGGCUGAGUGGGUUUGGUGUGGAUAACUUGUGUUUGCUUUGUCAAAUGCAAAGCAUGUUGCCAGCUAAAAAGUAAUGGAUAGUCCGAUAUAUAUAUAUAUAUAUGCAUGGGAUGAUGACCUAGCUAGCAAGUUCAAGCUAGUAUGAAUUCUGACAAAGUUUUUAUAAAAAUGUGUUUAACAAGUUCAAAUAAUACAUUACAAGGACAUAUAUUUAUCGAAAAUUUAACAAAACUAUUUUGUAUUCUAGAUAUUAACACAUUAAUUUUUCUAUAAACUUGGUUGAAGUUAUAUAUACUAGAGAUGUUUGAUCUAGGAUACAUCUAAGUGACCGGUAAUUUAGAACAGAGAAGUUUCCUCAACAAAAAAAAAAGAACAGAGAAGUAGCUAAUAUGGCAUAUGCCUAUUGCUGGCCCUAUAUAUAAACUUACAUUACAGUAGAAGUUCAAUUAGGUACUUCUAAGAGCAUUAAACAAAGUAGUUGGGUCGCCACCGAACUUACAUGAGAAAACACAAGCCUACGAAAGGAGCUGUUUCUUUGACAAGAGAUAACAGGGAGCACCUUCAUUAAGAUGGACAGGAGAAAACAGCGAACACUAGCAUUUCAGAGAAUUGUAUCAGAUUGGAGAGAUACCGAACCCAAGGACGACAAGGAGAUGACCUUUUCUCACCCAAUCAUGACUCCAUUGUUGGCUUGUAGCAGCAGAGAAGAAUCAACAAACACCACAGGGCAGAGGAAAAACAAACAUCCCAUCUCACAUGCCUAGCGCUAGACUACUAACUAGCUGAAGCUAACCCCUGACUGAACCAUUCAUCCUACUUCUAUCUGAUUGAAAGAAGUAAACGAGCAGCAAGUUAACUAUCAACACUGUGGUGUAUAUCAUAUAAAUAAUCAAUAAUUUAAUUAUAAGAAGGGCUAUGUGAAUUAAAUAAUUUAUUUGUGUAGCCGUCGAACUGGAAUGAGAAAGAUGCACAUAUAAUGGCUAAGGGGCUAACACUAGCUAGUAGACCAGCGAGUCAACUGAUCUAUAGGUCCCAUUUAGGAGUGUGAUAUAUUGAACAAGUGAUCGACAGAAGAGAAGGCAGAGGUGGCUUCACCCAAUCAUGACUCCAUUGUUUGACCCUAAUUCAGUAGGGUAAAGUUAAAGCCGCCGUCAUCUAUCCACCUCUACAUUAUGAUUCCAGAUUCUAGAUAGUGUUCACAUGUGUGGAAAAUUCAAGUAAUCUGCGACAACAUUUGAAAUUCUUUUUGACUAGUUUUGUCUUCGCGGUCCAAACUUUGGGCAUAAAGUACUCCAGCAGUUUGUCCAAGAGGAGAGGCAGACAGCAGUACACAUUUUUCACUGAAGACCUCAUGGCAUGCAAAUGAUAUAUUACCUUACCACACACUGCUGGAAAAUUGGACUGGAGGCACCCGGUCGUCGUGUGUGCAGUGGUAUGCGACCAUACAGAUACAGCUAAUUAACUGAAUUUGACACCCCUCUCCUGUUUUUUAGCUUAUUCAAACUUGGUUACUUAAAUUGCUCUGACUUCACAUUUUUAUCUUCUGAAACGAACACACAUCUCUUUCAACAAACUAAUGAAGAUUUUUCUAAAAGUUAAAAGAGAGAGGGGUGGUGACGAUAUGGUAAUAAAAAAAACUUGCAGGAGGCGCGUUUUUCCAGAUACAACAAAGAGCAGACAGUAGGUACGUUAUGAAGAAUCUUAUGACUGAUAAUGACUGAAGUAGUUAGUUAUAGAUACCCUUUAUAUAGUGUUACAGUCAAAUGAAUUCAAUGCUAAGUGCCGAAAGUGGCGACUUUGUUCUACCGCAAUUGUUGGGUGUUCGGCGGAUUGGAGACCAAAUAUAUAUAUAUGUUCAUCAGACCUACAAGGUACUCGAUAGUUAACAAGCUAUAUAGUCACAGCCUCACAGGGUAUUAGAUUGAAGAUAGUUGUUGCAAAUAAUCAGCAGUGAAAACUCGUGUACUAAAGAUUAGACUGCCACGUACCAGUUGUAGCCAUGAAUCGGUACAGUUAUAUAGUGCUUUCUUUGGCUCCGUCCGCUUGAGUUUCUCAGUCGAAUAUGUCAGUCAUUCAGCAGUAUUUUUUCUCAUAACAAAUUAACGAACAUGUCAUAGCUUUUUAGACAAGCGAACAAAACCAAAGGUAGUGUAAGUUGAUAAACAACAAAUGAGAGUAGUGCAAGUUGAUAAACAAGAUCAAAGAUAAUUUUUCUUUUACAAUAAAUUAGCAAACAGUACUUCUUAAGCGGUGCAAGUUGAUAAACCAGUACUAUUAAUGUCAAUAUGCCAGUCGAUUCCUCGAAAAUCAAUUGAAUCACAUAAAAGCUAAAUCGAGAACAAAAGAGAGCAAAGAUAGCAAUUGCUGUAUAUGCGUGUAAAUUAAUUAGAAAUUUGAAUCAAGAUAUACUAGCUAGUCUUUGUAGUUUGAAACCGACAUGGCAGCAGAAUAAGUCCAAUCGGACUACACUGACGCGUACUGCGCUGUUCAUACCGACACUACAGUAUGGCGCAUGCAUCCAUGCAGCUGCCCUUUUCCGACCUCAAUUUAAUUAAUUGGUUCCAGUUUUUUAUAGGACGAAUUAAUAACACCAUUAGACGGGCUUCUUCAGCGGCUUCAAAAGUUGUUUGAAGCCGUUUUCUGUUGAACAGAAUAAAAUAGAAUGGCUUCAUCGAUGAAGCCUCUAAAAAUAUAUUUUUAUAGAGCUUUUGGGUGUGAAGGAGUUAAAAAUAUAGUAGCUUCUCGUAGCUUUAUCUCAUCCUACGUGGCGUUCUAUGAGAGCACAUUUUAAGAAAAAAGCUAUUUUGCUAAACGAUAUAACAAAACGGCUCCGGCUCCACCGAUAGAGCUGUUCAUAGAGUUUAAGUUAAAAAACACCUUCACUGGUAAAGUAGAGCCGUACGUGCCAAAGACCUUAAAAUACUAAAGCCUUGUUUAGUUCACCCUUAAAAUCAAAAAGUUUUCAAGAUUCCCCAUCACAUCGAAUCUUGUGGCACAUGCAUGAAACAUUAAAUAUAGACGAAAACAAAAACUAAUUACACAGUUUAGCUGUAAAUUACGAGACGAAUCUUUUGAUCCUAGUUUGUCCAUAAUUAGAUAAUAUUUGUCACAAACAAACGAAAGUGCUACGGUACCGAAAACUUUUCAUUUUUCAGAACUAAACAAGGCCUAAGCAAAAGAAGAAAAAAAAAUGAAUAGCAGCUGAAGUAAGCGGAGGAUGAGAGAUCCAAUCGUCCAUUCUUGUCAAGAGACUGCAGAGAUCCUACGUUCGGCAAGAUCGGAUCCUAUAGGGCAAGCUGUCUAGCUAGUUAGGCUCUAGCUUUAUGUUAUUUUGCUCAUGUUUAGUUUCACCUAAAAAACCAAAAUUUUUCAAGAUUCCUCGUCACAUCGAAUGUUUUGACGCAUGCAUGAAACACUAAAUAUAAACGAAAAUAAAUAGUAAUUACACAGUUUUCCUGUAAUUUGUGAAACGAAUCUUUUGAGCUUAAUUAGUCCAUGAUUGGAUAAUGUUUGUCAAAUACAAACGAAAAUGUUACAGUAGCGAAAACCAAAAUUUUCUAGUAACUAAACAAGGCCUUUGUUUCAGCUAAGCCACCCAAGUCAAGCUACCUAAGGAGUAUAUACUUUUCUAGAUAAAGGAUAUAUAAAAUAACCGAAAAUGAGUAUAUACUUACUCCCUCCUCAUCCAGAAUAAAUCAAUUUGUAUAGUUAUCUUAAGUCAGACUUGUCGAUAUUUAACCAACUAUUUAUAAAGAGCAUAAACAUUAAACAACAUAUUACAAAAAUAUAUAUAUUAUGGUAUAUCUAAUGUUGGAGGUUGCAAAGGAGCCUCCGAACACAAUGGCUUGCCAUGUCCGCUCGCUGGCUGCGACAGUGGUUUAAGUUCAAAAGGGUCAGGCUCGAAACCUUAGAAUGAGCAGUGCAUUAAUAAAUUGGUUUCAACUAACCAUUCAAAGAGCAUUUACAGUCCCCCUUUUAUAGGGCGCGGAUCUUGGUCGGAAUCUAUUACAAAAAUGCCCUGUGACGGUGGGGAAUAUCCAGCAUAUUCCGCCACCGCAGUUUACACCUUAUAGGGCUACUUAGGUAAAUUCAAACAGCAAGCUCAUUGCAGGCUAGCUCGUCGAGGCCCUGUUCCUGUCGUGGCUCGAACCUUCGCGCAUCCUCUGUCGAGACCCAUGGAUCCUCCGCCGUGCGGCCACCGAAGGACCUUAGACCGCCUCACAGGGUUUCUCUGGCUCGUCCCUGUUUAGGGUUAGCACAUCCUUCAUCGCGUGGGAGCCGAAGGAUAGGCUUCUUCCCCCUGCGAUUCUCCGCUUGAGAUUGGUUCUUGCACACAUAUAUCACGAAACCGAUCUGUAUCAAUGUUAAGUUCUUUUGGGACCUUCAUCCCCCAGUGUCCACAGGUUGGGGGUAUGAAGAUUCAAUCAUCGCGGUCGAAUUACUUCCUUUCUUUCAGACGCAGCUGUGGGUGAAGACGUGGUUGAACUCCCAACAGUUUCCCCCCUUUUGAGUGUGGGGGGCACAUCUGUGGGGCAUAUGCUCAAAAGCUCGAACCUUCCCCGCUGUGUUUGGUGCGGCGAAGGUUCCGCCUUCCCCCUGGUGCGCAGGAUAUGGCUACUGAGAUUCGAUCAUUUAUGGGUUUCUUUAUUUCCUUAACAGACUGUUGUGAUCGCGCUGCUUGUGACACGACAGUUUUUCCCCAGGGAUUGCACCCUGCAAUGGUUGCAGGUAGCCGUUGGGUGUUGAGAAUUGUAACUGUCGCAGGCUCCCCCUAUAUAAAGGGGGGUUACUUUGUUCCUCACACUAUCGCUUUCGCAUACUCCCCUCAAAGCCUUUGCUCUCUUACAACCUUUCGUUCUCUCGUUCUUCUCGCUGCUUGAGCUUUGCUUCUACAGUGGCUUCCCCACCUUCGCUUCAUCCUGUCUAGGCUAACUUUGUUGGUCCUUUCCACAAUUUGCUAAGAGUGAGGUCUAGUGGUUGGUUAGGUCGCUACGAGGAGUGUAUGCUUGAGGUGUUCGCCGCUCGGAAGCUGGAAGAGAGUUUGUCCAACGUCGAAGCUUCCGUCAGCGAUCUAAUAAGUGCGGAGGAAUCCUUUUCAAUGGCUGGGCCUACUUUUGAGUUCGGAGAGUCUCUUGUGAUGGUGGAGGAUAUUUCCGAGAUGGUUUAAGGUGGAUUUUUCAAGGAAGGUCGGGCGAAGGCCCCUCUAGCCGAGCAGACAGUUCCUGACCCCGAGCCAGGGUACGCUGUGGUUUUUAGGGACUACUUUACCUACGGGUUGUUGUUGCCCCCCUAUUCCUUCCUCUGUCAGGUUAUGGAGGCUUUCAACUUGGAGCUGCAUCACUUCAGCCCAAAUGGCAUUCUUACGCUUAGUAAGUUUUGCUGGGCCUACGAAUCAUAUGGGUCGGUGCCCCAUAUUGAUACCUUUUGCACCUACUUUGAGCUUCAAAAACAUCCGAAGAAGGUCAAGACCGCCAAAGGAGAUUGCAUAGCAUAGUUUGGAAGUUGUGCCUUUAUGCCCCAAAGGACAUAGCCUUGAGAGCGACUAAAAAUGUUGUAUUGCUAGAAGAACAAAUGGGUGAGGGACUGGAUGAAACUAUGGUUCUACGUGAAGACUCCUGGCGUCGUGCACACUCUUGACAAUGAGAGCACAUUGACCGUGUACCCGUACGCAUCAAAGAUGAGGGAGAUGAAGCCCUUGUCGAAGGUGGAUCCUUCGGUAGACCAGUCAGAGGAGCGCAAGUCUUGCGAUAAGGCCUUCGCCCUCGCCUACCGCUACUCUGGUGGGCUAGAUCUUGUGGAGGAGAUGGCUACGUCAGACUUUUGGCUGCUUGGCCAUCAAAAUGAGGACUAUAAGAUUGAGAUAGUUCAAGUUCCAGUUUUUGGGCCUGUGGAGGGUCUUCCCUUUCCUCGGUUUGAGAGAGAGCUUGGGGAAGAUCAGAUAAAGGAGUCCUUCUUGGUUGAGGUGGAAUCCUGCGUGCACAGGAUAGUGGGAAAGAUGUCCGAGUGGGAGUAUCUUGCUCAACGAACUUCACAGGGCAUGAUGCCUCAUUUUAAUCGUGUUCUUGAGGAGUAUGGUAUUCACCAUGAAGAAUAUGAAGUGCCUACGGAGAUCUUGGUGGGCAUUAAAAAGAAGAGAGACGUUGCCACCAGGAACGUGACAGUGAAGCGGAGGCCAAGAAACGGAAGGGUGGUGGGGCGGCUAAAGCCCUAGCCAAAAAGCCAUGCAUUAGUGUACUGGCGGAGGUUUCUACCGGUUCUUCUUCUCGUGGUGGUUCUUCCAGCGCUGGUUCUGGGUCGGCAGAGCCUGCCGAAGGUUUGAUUGUUUCGGCUCCUGUGACGGAAGUUGGUGCCCUAGUUGGACCCGAGCCCUCGGCGGUCAACCUGCUUCCCUCGCUACUUGGUGAGGAUUCUUCUGAUAUGGAGGCGCCUGUUGGUAAGCCUGCGGGUGUCGAGGCACCUGCCUUUGAAUUAGAGGAAGACUCAGGGGAAGCGGAGUCUGCGCCUCAUCCCCCACUUGUGGCAGAGGCUGCUCCCUCUGCUGAGGCAUCUGGUAGGCCAUUGAGCCUUUAUAUGGGUACUCAUCGCUGCUUUUGUUUUAUGUUUUCAUUUGGGCCUUUCAUGCUUUGUUUCGUCUAAAACGCGUGAAUUUUUUUGCCAAGUGAGGCUUUUCACUACCUUGGCUGGCGCGGAGGAACUGGCCAGAGGUGCGAGCAUUGCUCAUGAUGGCCUCGAAGUGCCUCCGCCACACAGUCCUGCGCCCAACGUUUCUGGCUUUGUGCCUCCGGCCGGAGUUGGUGCUUGUAAGCGUCUUGUUUCCUCUUAGGUUUGUGGGUUUUUAAAGUUAUCUCUUGACAUGUGUUUUGAUGCGUUAUGCAGCAGCCUCCGACUCCACGCUUUCUGGUUGGGCUAGCAUUGUCCAUGAAGUUCAUAGCAUUAUCAGAGGUAUGUUUUUAGCCUUGUGAUCUUCUAUCGGUUUUUCUUAUAUUUUCUUACGUCUUUGUUCUUGCCAAGCGCUUCCGGCGAGAGCUUCGCCACAUGGACUAUUCUACCCUCCUUCGUGUGCAAUUUGAGCAUCAUAGUCUUGUGAGUGUUUUUUUAGUUUUGUAUAUAUAUUAUUUGUUUGCUUAAGUUUAUUUUGUUUCAUGAUCCUAGGGGCAUCACAUGGCUGCGGCCCUGGAGGAGCGGUGCUCCCAAGAGGUGAUCAACCAUGACGAGGCCAUUAAGCUCCUGAAGGAGGAGAAUGAGUCUCUAGAGGCCGUGAAGGCUCAUCUUUCGAAGGAUGCGAAGCUUCUUCCUCUAGCUCGUGAGGAGAUUGCUUCUUUGAAGAAGGAGAAGGAAGAGCUAGACCUGGCUAUGGCAAAGCUGUGAAAGAAUGUGGAUGAUGCAGGGGCAGCAAGGACUUGGCCGUGCAAAGGGCUGCUAAGGUCGAUGAGAUUUCAAACCGCCUCCGCGAGGAGCUGGAGGCUGAACGUGAGUCGGCGGCCUCCCUGCAGGACCAACUGAAGGAGGCCUGAGGCGAAGCGGAAGGGGGCCAGGGCGGAUGUGACGAAGGACGUGGGUCUUUCAGAUAGACCCUCCUCUUAGGUGUGAGGGGUUUCGUAUAUUUAGGGCCUUGCGUCUGUGAGACAUUUGUAAAAAGACUAUGUUCAACAUGUGUUUUGCAUCUGUAUAAAGUUUAAUAUCCUUGUUAAAGUUUCAUUUUGUUUGUUUUACUUAUUGCAAUUUUGCGCUUUGGCCUGCGCAGGUCUCUGGCGAAGGACCUGUGCAGGAUGUUUGUGAUGUUGCCCUUUUGUCGUUUUUUUACAACAUGAUUUAUGUUCUGUUGGAUUUUUGGGAGCACUGUCAGGUUGCGUUUCCCAAUCAGAAUGUUGUAGAUAUGUUUGACUUUAUUGAUUUUGAUAUUGAUUACGAACGAUCUGAGUUCGUUCGUUCACUUGCGCAUCGCGGGACCUGGCCUCCAUCCUAGGUUGUUGUUUUAGUCUUUUUUCUUUAUUUGGUUAUUAUGUUUGAUGUGCUUGAACCUUUAUUACUUUCCUGGUGCAGCCUUCGUACUCGAUUUUGCGUAUCUUUGGCAAAGACGAAGAGGUGUUUUGCCUGCUGGAGGAUCCAUACCUUUUGGCGGAGCUUUAUCUUCCCGGCCGUAAGGAGGUUGGUUGUUCUCACUUGGUUAAAUGCAUUUUUGAUGUGAACGAAGGUGUGUUGCUCGCUGUGCUUAUUUUCUUUUUGCUUUCAGUUUGUUCUUCCUCUUCCUACAUGUGGUGUUCUUCCGCUGAACUUUCAAGAGGGGUCGUAUAUGUCUUCAGUUACCUUGAAGCGGGGAGACGUUUACAUCAAGGGGUGGAUUCUAGAUUGGUGGCAUCGUCAAUUUCCUUCACGUACGGUGGACGACCUGGUCGAGUAUGUUGCUCGUGACUACUGUGAGGAAAUAUCAAUGUUUGGACCUUCAGACGUUAGGAUUGUCCGUGAUACUUGAUUCCUUCGUUGUGUAGGUAACGAAUGUUUUAGCUUUAGUGGUUGUGGCCAAGUUUGUAAUUUUGACUUUAUUUUUCUUUUUUUGUCUUGAUGUAAUCAGCAGUCGUACCCAUUGUGAAUAUGAAUAAAAGCUGAUUUUACAUGGGAGAUCUUAUUACAUUUUGAGGUUGCAACUACCUUCUAUUUUGCUCCUUGCUUGCUUCUGGCAAACUAACUAGUUGCGUAGGCAGACCUACGCGUCACUGUGGUGUUGAUCCUAAGGAUCUUUGUGUUGCUGCCGAUGUGUGUUUCUUGCCGUCAGAUGUUGCAGAGGUAAUAGUUGCUCUUGAUCUUGCGAAGGUUAGCUGGUUUGCGAUUGAGGUGCUUGACGAGGGCUUUCUUGUUGGGUGCCUUUGCUGGUUUGCUCUUCUUUUUGCUAUUGUAUUGCUCCUGUCAAACAUUGGUGAGGCUAACCUUCGCAAUGAAGCUUUGUUGGUUGUGGGGGGAUGUUACGAGACUUCGUGCAAUACCCUUCCGUAACCUCUAAUACUUGUAUGCAUUGCUUUUGUUCUAGCUGUACAUGACCCUAUGGCAGCUGUUCAUUAUAGUGUCGUGGGUUGCGUGUUAUGCUCUUGGGGUUUAUCUCUCCUUCGCUAGGUUUUCCUAUUACGAGUCUCCGUGCCGUACCAGUAGUGGUGCUGAUUGGUAAGCUCACUCCUCCUUCCAUGUUUCUCUUAUUUCUAUUUUCUACACUUUGGAUGCUAGGGCUGGGGGGUAUGGGGGCCGAUUUGGUUUUCUCGGUGGGGUUUAGUUUUGGGCUACUAUACUUGGAGCUGGUGCGACGCUUGAAGUAAUUGGGGCGGUGGGUUAGUCGGGGGCGACAAUGCUUCAAACCUGCUCACUGAUUGAUGAGGUUGGCUUGUUUCAAUGUAUGUAAUUUGUGGAGGUCUAGGACUCAUGUAAGCGGGGGUUGCCUCUUGGCAAUGGGAGUUGUGCUCUGCCUGUGGCUGUGUUGUGCGCCAGGUCGAUAGGAAGUUUGGGUAGUAGGUGGAGGCUACGGCGGAUGGGUGGAUUUGUGGUUGGAAUUAUUGGGCUACUCCCCUAGGUACGAAGGAUAACAAGGUUGUUGGUGUGGGUGGCGAAUGUAUAAUUUACCUCCCUUGGUUGGCUGGGUUGUGGAGGUUGUGGGGUGGUCCUGCUCUUGAUUGUUUCUUGAGUUUCUUUGGCAUCUAGGCAAUCUCUAGUUGUGUGUUCUUUUUCUUCCCCAUAAAAGAAACAAUAUUGUUUUUGUUGCCUCUGCUUCUGAUUUCUUCCCCAACCCCUACUUUGGAUACUUCCCUUCGCAUGGUGGAACCUACAUGCUGUGUUUGACGUCUCCAUCGGUAGAGACAUUUUACUCGACUGGUCAUUAUUUGGCUGCUCAAUGUUGAACAUUUGGCUGCCCUGUUCUUACCGUGGCUGCCGACCAUCUCGGUUUACAUUGUUUCUCUGCUGAUUCCUGUCACUGGCUUGCUUUUUUUGCUAAUUCUGCUCUUCUAGUCUUUUGCAGAAGUCAUUAUCAGAUUUGUAGUACUUUUCAAACUCAUGGUACAGCUCCUACAUAGAUGUUGGUAUCUCCCUGGUUAAGUGGGCCGUGAAGGGUGCGGAGGCCCUUGAUCGUUGCCUCGAUGGUGACUUCCUCUAACACACUUGGUGCCUUCCCUUUAGUUUGGACAAAAACCUUUGAAAGUAAUCUUGCAAGGCCUCCCCCUGACCCUGCCAGCACUAGAACAGAUCCGUGAAAGUUAGUGAUUUGAUGGUGAACCCUUGGACAUUUGCCAGAAUUUUAUCCUGCUGUAGGCUCAACAGCUAAGCCUGUAAUUGCUGAAGUUCCUGAACUGUUGUGGGUUCCGGCUGUUCCUCCAUGGGCGGGGCCUGAUCCACCACCGGUUGCUCAUCCACCGCGUCCUCAUUCUCUGCAGUCGUGUAUGUGCUUCGAGCAGCGCAUCUAGGCCUUCCCCUUCUAACGGCUUCAGCAGGCGCUCUUGUGGCGCUGCUUCUUUUGCCAGCCAUCAUGGGUUAUCUCGUGCCCCACGGUGGGUGCCAAUAUUAGAGGUUGCAAAGGAGCAUGUGAACACAACGGCUUGCCAGGUCCGCUCGCUCGUUGCGGCGAGUGAUUUAAGUUCAAUAGCGGCCAGGCUCGAAACCCUAGAAUGAACAGUGCAUUAAUAAAUUGGUUUCAACUAACCCUUCAAAGAGCAUUCACAGUCCCCUUUUAUAGGGCCCAAAUCCUGAUCAAAAUCUAUUACAAAAAUACCCCAUGACGGUGGAGGAAUAUCCCAGCAUAUUCCACCACCACAGUUUACACCUUAUAGGGCUACUUAGGUAAAUUCAAACUGCAAGCUCAUUACAGGUUAGCUCAUCGAGGCCUUGUUCUUGUCGUGGCUCAAAUCUUCAUGCAUCCUCCGUCGAGACCCAUGGAUCCUCCACCGUGCGGCUGCCGAAGGACCUCGGACCGCCUUGCAGGGUUUCUCUAGCUCGUCCUUGUUCAGGGUCAGCACAUCCUUCGUCGCUUGGGAGCUGAAGGAUCCCCUGCGAUCCUCCGCUCGAGAUUGGUUCCUGCACACAUAUAUCAUUAAACUGAUCUGUAUCAAUGUUAAGUUUUUUCGGGACCUUCGUCCCCCAUUGUCCACAGGUUGGGGUAUGAAGGUUCAAUCAUCGCGGUCGAAUUACUUCCUUUCUAUCGAACGCGGCUGGGGGCAAAGGCAUGGUUGAACUCCCAACAUCUAAUGAUAUUAAUUUGGUGUCAUAAAUCUUGAUGCUCUUUUCUUUAAAUUUAGAAGAAAUUUAAAUAAAUGACUUAAGACAACUCUAGAAAUUGAUUUAUUCAUGGAUGGAGAGAUUGAGUAAGUUGUAUUAUUGCUUAUUUAGUGUUCUCGACAUAAACUUACGUAGCAGUUGAUUUUUUUGUAAAUAAGUUGGAUCUUGAAUUAGGGGGAGGAUAACAAAAGGAGACACGCUUGCUUGGGCAUUUAAUCAAUCAAGUAUCCUCUAGUCACAAUAAGUGAUGCUUUGCAAUUAUUUGAGUCAAUUACAGGUCUAUUUUUGACAACUCUAAGCUCCUUUUUAUGUGUUGUGUUUGAAUGUUUGAAAGUUUUCAUAAAAAAAUAUAACAAAAGUAUUGGUCAAAUUUUGAAAUAAUUGACUUGAGGCAACCCCUAAGGCUCUAAAUGCCACUUAUCUGUGACUAGAGAGAGUAUUUAUAUAUGUUAGGCUAGACUCAAUGGAGAUUUUAUCUGGGUAUCAUUUGCAUUUAAUAAUGUAACACACAUCAACACAUUUGAUGACUUGUCAGAUAAUUAUGAAGAAAGAGAUAGAUGAGAGAUGAAACUCUAUUGACAUGAUCUUUAUGAGUCAUUAAAUUAAAUGUCUAUGAAAUGAUAAAUUGAAACAUUCCAUUGAGUCAUUAAAUUAAAAGUCUAUGAAAUCAUAGAUUGAAACAUUGCAUUGAGAAUGGGUGUAUUCAUCAUUGUUUUAUUUCAUUCUAUAUGACAUGGCAGUCAUAGAAACAACAUCAUGGAACUCCUGUUGGGACUCGCAUUGCAAAGCUUUAUUGAAAGGGUGUAGAAGAUCAAACCAGUAAUCAUGUCAUGACAUCAUUUAGAGACAACAUGUUCUAUAUGCAAAUUAAGUACAUAAGAAGAUCAAUUGCACAACACUGGAGAAGAGUUAUUGUUAGAAAUUGAUGAUGCACAUCGCUAUCAAUCCAUCUCAAGAACUUAUUAGAGGGCCAUUCGAGGUUUAUCGCUUAACCAACAAAUGCAUCUUAUAUGUAUGCUUUGUUAGUUAUUUUGAUUAAAUUAAACUAUAGGUUCACAUAGCAAGCCUUAGGUGAUUCUCCAUGCGGUAGAGUAUCAAAUAUAUCAAUGUGGCUGAAUCUGCACAAUGCAUGGUCUCUGAAGAUAUCCUCUAAUUGUUCAUAUUUACUUGUUGCAUACUUCACGCCAGUAGUUAUAGUGUUUCUUCAUGCAAAAUAUAUUGGUCAAAAAGAUGACAUAAACAAGAAGUGAUUCAUUCAUCAUUUAAAAAGAAAUGACAUGCAAACACAUCAAACACAACACAAUGACUUCACAGUUGUAAAAUAUAUGUAAAGCUACAAAAAGUCACUAGACAUGCAUAACUGAAGAAGAACAAGCCUCAAAGAUAGUUCAUUCGCAGUCCAUCAUCUUAAUUAAUGAACUAAUUAACUCUUCUGCAGUUCUUUCUUAUCUGGCCAUUGGAGCCCGUCAAUGGUGUGAUGUCACCCAUCUUAAUCAUACCCGUCACAAAAUCUGUGAAAAAUGUGCUCUGGCUACCAACAUAGGAUUGGACCAGCGUGUCGGUGGCUCCACCAUUGAAGAGCUCUUGGUCAGAGUGUAGAAGCCCCUUCUUGCUAAGAAGGUUCUUGUAGUAGUUGUUCUCAAAGACAGUAGGGGUUUGAAGGUCCAAUGGUGCCAAAUUGUUGUCACCUGCACCUGAGGUGCUUGGGCAACCUGAUUGCCUUGUUUUUGCAAAGGCAGAGUUG